UUUUUUUUUUUUUUGUCAACAUUAUCUCUCUUAAACCAUUUCUAAUGUCAUUGUGAGUUUCAAUUGCCAUUGUAGUCUCUCUAGUAGUAUAACUCAUGUGCAACUUUAAUUUAAUUUUUAUCUCCAUCUUCACUGGUGGAAGUGGUGCUUGUAUUUUGCACACAAUUCGGAAUUAAAUAUUAAUAAACCUUAAUUUUUUUUCAAAUACAAAAUAGAACAAGGGGAAACAAAAAUAAAUAAAUAAUAAAUAGAAAAUACCAAAUCUUUAAUCUUUUGCAAAUAUCAUUAUAGGUUUCUAAACCAAAUAUUUAACUGUGUUUUUGUUUUGUAUCUAUCAAUUUAUUAGUUUGAUUUUAAAUUUUUAAUAUUUACCAUUAGUUUAAUGAAAAAACUAAUUGUGACACUUUAAUUCAAACUAUAAAAGGAUUACGUAUAAAAUUUUAAACUAUAGGAUGUUAUAUGCUAAUGUUCCAAAUUACACGAGGAUACAAAGUAAUUUACCUUAUUAAUAAUGUUGUUCUUUUAAUAUUCCACCAAGUGAACUCUAGAGUCUGUGGCUUUCCAAGCCUGAUAAUUGUACAGAAGGAAUUUCAGAAUCGUGUAAUCCUAUGUAGAAAAUUUCCUCCCUUCAUAGUACAGGUCAGUUGUAUUACAGCAGAAAUGGAGACGAUGGGAAAGUAUGACUGCAUGAGUCUUGAUUUAAUUUUUUUCUUGGUUUGAAAGACAAUGGAAUCAUGUAUGGCAAAUGUAUAACUUAGCAGUAUAAUGUUUCUAAACCAAAGAAUAAAUGAAGACCAAAUAAAGAUAAAAUAGAAUUAAAGAAAAGAACACAACAAAUUGACAAACUAAUACUAAAUAGACGUUUAACUAUUAUACCCAAUCUUACGGUUUACACCUUGCUUCCCCUGUUUAUACAAAACCGGGAUAUUUUUAGUACUUUACCAUUUGAUAUCAUCUUAAAAUUUAUCACAUUUAUUUCUUUGACAGUUUUAACCUUCUGGCACUAAAAAACUAAAUUUGUAUGCCACAUUUAACCUGUUAGCUCCAAAAUAAUGUUCUCUCUUUUCUUUUCUUUUCUUUUCUUUUUUUACAGAGAAUUGCUAUAUUUAUAUAAGAGUAAAAUCUAAUGAACGAUUAUGUUUGAUGUCGAAAAAUAGCUUAUAUUUUUUUAGGAGAAGAAAAGGAAACAAUAAAGGGAAAAAUAAGGAAAAACUAAAAGAUAUAUUCUCCAGUUAAAAUAUUGAGUUUUAUUUCUAUCAAUUGAAUUUCCAUGAUUUUUUGUGAGUUACAAGUAUGAGGAAGCACGAGACAAAUUUGGCUAAGAUUAGAACUAUAAGCUAUAUUUUGAAUAAGAAGAAAAACAGUAAGUUGUAUUAGGUAUCUAGCUUAAUUAUUCAUGAGAUAUUACCCUUAUAAACGAAACAAUUCUCUGUAAAAUUUAAAAAAAAUUACAUAAUUUUAGAACCGCAAGGCUAAAUUUGGUAUACAAAUUUAGUUUUUUGGUGUCAGAAGGUAAAACUGUCAAAAAAAUAAAAAUAAGGGCAUUACAGUCUUUUCAUAAUUUUUAAGUGGCAAUUUGUGUAUUUUGUGAAUGAAGUGGGGUAAUUUACAACUGAAGUUAUAGCAUUACAAGGGGUAGUUCGGGGGCAAUUUUUGUCAUUUACAUUCUCAUUUUAUAAGAAAUUUAGUGUUUGUUUAUCUCUCAUCCCUACCAAAGAAAUUCAGAGAGAAAAAAAAAAUCAAUUGUUCCUUGAUAGGCUAUGGAUAGCUAUCAGUUUAAGUGCGUUUGAAUGGCAAGCUUUUGCGAGAACUUUUUAAUUCUUAAAAAGGAAAGAGGAAAGUAAAGGGAAGAGUUCAUAACCCUUGAACACGCACAAUCUUUUCCUGACGUAAAUGGAUGAAACUAAGGCUUAGUUUGGGAGUUUAUGAAGGAAGAGAAAAGAAAAGAAAAGAUAGCUUAGGAAAGAAAAGAAGAGAAGGGAAAAGAUGCAUAUUUCGUUUGGGAGUUUAAUGAAAGAAAAGAAAAGAAAUAUCUUUCUCUCAUUUGAGAGUUGGAGAGAUUUGGAAAGAAAGGAUUUUAUGAGAAUACAACUUUACAUAUUUGCCCUUUCUAUUUGCCCUUUCUAUUUGUUAAACUCUAAAUAACAAAAAUAUGAAAUAUAAUAUUUAAAUAUAUUUUAAUACACACAAGUUGGACGGGUAACUAGUGUGUCAGAGAGUUGCCAUAAUCUCCUUAAACCCGCAUGCGGGUUUAAAGAGUAUUCGGAUAUUCUCAUAUGCACCUAUGCAUAUCGAACCAACCGGAUAUCUUAUCCGUAUCCCAUUUUUUUAAAUAAAAAUCUUAUAAAUUUGAAAAAUAAAAUCAAAUUUAGAUGUAUUAGGGUUUUAAAAAUAUUAUAUAAGUGAUAAAAAUUUUAUAAAUUGUAAAAAUAAAAUCAAACUGCUUGGAUAAUUAAAUGUUAUAUUUGCAUAAGAAAUAAUACAAUAAUCAUAAUAAUGAUAAUACAAUAAUAUUGGUGUAAUAAAACUGCCAUUAAUUUAAAUAUUUACUUAUAAUGCCCAAAGAGCCUAAUUACCAAUUUUUUCUUCUCGCGCUCAAAUAUAACAUUAACCCGCAUGCGAGCUAACCUUGAAAUAGAAAAAACACAGAAUCCUGCUUGCGGGUUUCAACGUUAUUAUGCAGGCGGGAUUUUAACCUGCUUGCUUGUAAACAUGUUUGGAUCUUGAUAUAACAUGUUUGCUUGUAAACACAGAAUCCUUCAUGAUGCUUGGAUCUUUCUUCAUGCUUUUCCAAUUACACAAACUAUAUUUGUAGAAAAACACAUAACAAGAACAGAAUUUACAUCAAAAUAAAAGUUUUAGAUUAAUUCUAUUAUGAAUACAUGGUUUUAUAGAUCCAAAAACAUACAGAAUCUAUUAGACAAAAGAAGAUUCAUGUGGCAACUUGUAUUUAUAAACUCAUACUACUAAUAUAAGAGUACAAGUUAACAAAAUAAGGAUCACAUUUCAACUUAAACAAAAGAAAUCAGCAUCAAGUCAAGUUGUCAUAGUAUGUAAUCAUUCCACAUUUGCAUUGCUAUUUCAUUCCUUAAACUUUCUCCUUGAGCAUGAUCUUUUUCAGCACUUAUAUCUCCACUUUCCUCCUCCGAUGGAGAUUGAUUUGCCAAUUCUUCAUCCACUUCAUUAAUGUACUCCAAGUCAGGGUCAAACUCCAUGAGAAAAUUAUGUAAUAUACAACAAGCAAGCACAAUUUGUGAUUGUGUUUCAACACUAUAAGUUGGUUGAGUAUCUCCAAUGAUUGGAAACCGUUUUUUCAAGACACCAAAUGCUCUCUCAAUUGCAUUACGCAAUGAUGAAUGUCGCAAAUUGAAUAGUUCUCGAAAGUUUUGCGGUUGUUGACCUGAGUAUUCCUUCAGGUGAUACCUUACAUUUCUAUAAGGUGUAAGAAGUCCCCUUCUCAACAUGAAUCCAGCAUCAACAAGAUAAUAUUUACCUAUACAAAUAUCAAAUAGUUACUACUUAAUUAAAUGCACUAAGAAUAAUUAACUAAGUAUUACCAUUAGGAAUGAUUAAUUUAUCUUCUCUAGUGAGCGCAUUUUUUAUGAUCCUUGAAUCCGAUGCAGUUCCCUCCCAACCAGGUAGAACAUAUGUGAAUCUCAUAUUCAAAGAACAUGCAGCAAGCACAUUUUGUGUUGGAUGCUCUUUUCUACCACGAUAUUUUGCCGCAUCAAUAUUAGGCACCUUAACGCGAACAUGGGUUCCAUCAAUUGCACCCACACAAUCCUGACAGUUAUACACUAUGUCAAAAUAUAAUUUCUAUAUGAAUUUACAAUUUUUAAAACAAGGUGUCAAAAAGUUUAUAUCACCUUAAAAUAUGGAUAAAAUCUUGUACUAUUAAGUAUUUCCGGAGGAACUUGUUCUCCCGUAGGCUGCUGAAGAAAUUGAUCCUCCAAUGCUAUAACUGCUCGUAAAACUCUAUGAAAAUGACGACUAACAGUUUCUCCAGAACGCCGAUAAAAGUAUGACAUUGUGAUAUUUUUUGAGGGAAUUGUUAAUAUAUGGAGAAAUUUAACAACUUGCUCUUGCACCGUGGCUCUUUGAGUAGGUUGUAGACCACCAUGUGUUUGCAACAAGUCACACAAGCGCCUAAAAGUUUCUGGUCCCAUACGGAUAACCUUACUCAAAUAUCCAUUUGUACUGAGUUGCAUCAAUAAUUCCUCUCGUACUAAAUGACAUUGUGCAGACCAAUAUCCAAUGGGUCGAUCCACAUAAUUUGCAUGGCUUAGUUUUCGAGCAAUUAUCAUGUUUACUACCUGACAAACAAUUUCAGUAGCAACCAAUUGUCGCUUCCUUUGUUGAAUGUCAUAUUCUCCAUCGACUUCAUUUUGUUCCUUAUCCAUCUAAAACUGUUUGUAUUAGAACACUAAAUUUACGAAUGAGUAAAUAAUUAAAAACAAAUUUUAUUUAUUUACAAGGGUUAUGGAGUCAUUAUCAAAUACAAUGUUAAAAUUCUAAAUAUCAAUAUAAAAAGAAGUAUUUUUCUAAUAGUAAUGUUUUUAAAGUGCUGACAUAAUUUACAGUAAAUAAAAAUAAUCCAACAUCCUAAUAAAUAAAGAUUUUUUAAAUGAAGAUACGGAGAUAUAAAUAUCAUUUUGUCUACCCAAACUUUACUGAAAAAUUCUUCAUGCUUUAAAUUAAGUUGAUCAAGCAUUUGAUUUUUUAUGUCUUUAUUUUGGUCUCAGCCAGGAACACCUCUAUGAAUAUAAAUAGAAUUGCUAUAGCCUAGGAGAUUUACUGAUAUCAACUAACGUAACCAAAUAUGAUUUAUUCUAUUGCCAUAUGGCCACCAUCUUGUUAGACCUCAUUUUGGUUUUGACGAUCAGCCACCAUUCAAAAUAAUACUUCUAGUAUCAUCAUCUUGUUAAUCAUUUCAAAGAAAGAUGCAUUAUUAUAAUAAAAAGAGGCUAACGUAUUGUUUAUGAACUCUAGAUGGAUUAUUUUACAAUUUGAAUCUUACAUAGGCAAAUAAACAAACAGAUUGUAUGCAUUCAAAUUUCAUAUCCAUUUAUCACCACUAAAGCUGUCAUGUACCAUAACCAUGCAAGAUAUAAUCACAAAUCAAUAAUAUAAAAUCAAGAGUUCAUUAACAAGAAUUUUAUGACAGAAAACGAACAAAAAAUUUAGAGUAUAAACAAUAAGAAUCUACACAAAAAAAAAAUACUUUUUUCACAAUGCUCUAGUGAAGACUAAGCAAAGAAAGAAAGAGAGAUUGAGUUAAAGAAAUACCUUUUGUUUGGUGAAUUAUGGGUGAAGAACCAAUGAAAGCCAAGUUUUCUGAUUUCGCAACUUGCUGGAAGUAGUGAAAGUAUAUGACACAGGACCACCGAGAAAGCUUCAUAGUGCUUUUAGAAAUCAGUUUUAGGAUAUAUUGGGAAUAAUGAACUUUUGUAUCAGCUUCUAAAGGACAAACUUGUCAUAUUAAAAAUGUCUUUUGGCGCCCCAUCAUCUUUCCGUCCUUUUCUUCCCACUUUUGGGCGGAAAAAUUUUCAACAAUUGGAGGGAGAUUUUAUCCGUUCAUUUCACUUCUUUUCUGUACUUGUUAAACUCCCAAAGGAAAGAAAUGGUUGUCCUUUCUCUCUGAAUACUUUCUUUUCUGUCCAUUUCACCCUAUCCAAAUGAAGCCAAAGGAAAACAUAAUUCUAAACAGUCUUACAACUUAUUAUACAAUAUCAGGUAGUCCUUCAGAAAUUAUUCAAUUGAAAAAGGUCAACAUCUAACUAGUUCAAUAUUCAUUGCAGCUAAUUCAACUCGAGGAUACUCAUAUCCCUCCAUGUGGCCGCCAGGAUUGACCAAUUAGUUGUUUAGGGAGACAUUGAAUGGACCAUCAGAAGUUUUUCAAGAUUUAGGUACAAUAUCUACCUAUUAUAUAAGAAGAAAGUGGAGUUACUAUAGCAACUCCAAUGAUUGCCAAGUGGAUUCCUCUCAUUUUGAUACAUGGCUCAUUUCUUUUCUUUUCUUCAUUUUGCUUUGUUUUUUCUUUUGUUCACUUUAUUUUCUCUCUCCUUUUUUAUUAAAGAUAAUUAAACAAAUCUUCAUGUACAUUGCAGGUUUGUUAUUUAGUUUCCACUUUGCACUCCAUUUUUUUCCCCUAUGAUCCUAAUUAAUCAUUUAUUCUAUUUUUUCUCUAUUGGAUUAGUUAAUGCAUUUUCUUUCACUUUUGUCCAUAAUUAACUAAAUGAAUGAUUUCAUUAUCGAAGAUCAAGAAUGAGUUUGAUAUUUCCUUUCUUCCAUAGUCCAAUAAUUAUGAUUCAUGAUCUUCUACUUUUAAUGUCUCUUUUUGGUAUAUACUAUUUGAUAUUUUUUUUGUCAUUUUUUGUGUCUUGAUCAGCAACCUUUGCUUAUUGCUUUUCUCACCUAUUUCUUCUUCAUCUGACUUUCUUUUCUGCCCAAAAUAGGUAUGUGAUGUUGUGAAUAUUUUUCCCCAAAUCUAAAGAAACCUUUUUUUUAGUUUUUUAUAUUUUAUUUAUUCUGAAACUACUUUUUGAUCUUUUUAUUUUUGGAAAAGGUUGACAACAAGACGGGUGAUGAUUACAUGAAGAAUUUUUAGGCUAACAAUGAAAGAAUUGUAACUACUUUUCCCUCAUAAAAUAAAAUAAAUAACACCAUUAGGCAGAUUCAUUCUAAUUCUAAUUUUUUAUUUAUUAAAAUUGUUAUUUGAUAAUAGGGUGAUAGUACUACAUUAGAGAAGAAAAAAUCUAAUAAAUGAAAAUCCAAGGUAAAUGAUGAUCAGGAAGAAAAAAAAAUGAUGCCUAUUAAAUUAAAAAUUAACCAAAAUCUCUUAAUUUAUGGAUAGGUAAUUAUAUUUUAAUUUAUAUAAAGUUUAUUAAUUGUGAAAAGUGCUUAUAAACUGGAUAAGAUGGAUGACGGGUAAAAUAAUUGUUGGGGCUAGCAAUUUAGAAUGUGAAGAUAAUAUUUUAUAUCUCUUCAUUCAACAUUUUGAAUGACUAGCUUGUAUCCAUAAUAGGUAGUUUAUUUUCAUGGUUUUAAUUUUAGCAAAUGAUAGCUUGGAAAUAAAAGAAUUGCAAAAUUAGAUUUCAGAAUCUUUUACUUAAACUGGUUCUAUAUGACUUUGUACUCUUAUCCCUUUCUAUUGCCCAUAAUGAUAGAUAAUGUAAUUAAAGUUUGAGAUGAUUGUUAGGCAUAGAACUGGACAUAUCAUUACUAUUUGGCUAAAGAAGUUAAUAAUAUUUUGUCAAUUUGACUAGCUAAAACAAUUGCAGUUUUCAAAGGAAUGCAUUUGGUGGGAAGUUAGUAUUGAGGCUUUUAGCUUAGAGUGUCACUCUACAAAAUAUUAUUAGAAAAUUCUAUUUUGAUUAAGAAGACAUAUUUGCAAUCAAACAAAUUGUUGGAUUUGAAUUUGCAUAUAUGGAUUUACAAAUAUGGCAAUUCAUGUUUUUAUUUAAACUUGCUAUACGUAUUCUAUAACUAUUUGGUUAGAUAAUGUUUUCAUCUAUUUGUAAUGCUAUUAGACAUAUGAUUUAAAUGGAUAGAUUAACUCGCUCUUUCUCUCAAAAAAGAAAGAAAAAUAUGCAAGUUUGUAUUUUUUUUUUUUAUUGAUGUUGAAGAUAGUGACAAGUUUUUGUGGCUUUCUAUAUUUUUUCUAAUUAUUAAAAUGUUAGAAACAUUAUGACUACUCUUUAUUUAAUUACAACUAAAACUAUGCUGCUAUUAAACCGAUAAUGCACUCAUAAUGGAUUUGCUUUCUUUUUUUUUUUUUUGGUAUCAUUACGUACACAUAAUAUUAGUUAAAAAUUCUUUUUCCAAAUCACAAUAAAUUGGGGUUAACUUUAUAUAUGAAAUUUCUUUUCACAGCAAAUUUUAAUUAUUUUUAUACUUAAUUUUUUUCCUAUAUUUCUAUUCAUUAUGUACUAAAGCAUUUGUUACUAUGUAUUUAUCUGAUGUUCUUGAGGGCCCUGGCUGUGCGUUGCACAGCCGAGGUACCUCUAGUCAUGAAAGAAGAAUAUUUUCCAAAAUUUAAGGAGAGACAAGUGUAAGAAAAAAUUUAGAGCCUAUUCAUUAAUUUUGCAGGGGUGGAUGGCAAUUGUGCAACCUCGUGAAGCAUGGUACUUCGCACUUGGCAAAGAUCGUUACAUUGGUGACUGAAUAUUUCUAUCAAGUCAUCUGCAAUAUGACGCUUCAUAGAAAUCAGGAAUUGCAUAUUUAAGUUGCUGUUGAUAAUCAUCCCAAAAAUUGUUUUCCUUAAAGCAAAUACUUAUAGAGGCUUAAGGUGAUACAUAAAUAAAUUCCUUACCUUCGUUAAACAUACAAAUAACCUACAAUUUUAGAAGAUGGGAGAAUAUUAGAUUUGGAUCAAUCCACGAAUAAAGAUUUUUCCGGAGGUGUUGUUGAGAACUGAAUACUGAAAAAAGGAAUGGAACGAUGAUUGUUUUGGAUUUUUGUCACAGCUUAUGGGUGGCAAAUUAGAAGUCUUAAAUUCAAAUGUUAAACAUCGUGUUAUUAGUUGUUUUGCAAGGUAAUAUGUUCCUUAUCUGUUCAAGUUUUGAAGACAAAAUAGAUUACAUAUGUAUUUUGUUUUUUGGCCUUUUUUUUUGGCCAAGUUAUGUCUUUAAUUUGAUUCCAUUGAAGUCGACAGAGAAUGAUUUGAGUAAAUGUAGUAGAGAAAUCCUUUUGAGUACAUAUUGUGGGAUCCUCUCGAAUGACUAUAUAUAUAUAUAUAUAUAUUGUAUAAUAUGUGUAUGUGUGUGUACAAUAUAUUGCGGGAUCCUUUUGAAUACAAUAUAUAAUAUAUGUGUGUAUUAGGUGCAUAGAUUAGCAAAUGAAUUUCUUCGAAACCAUGUAGAAAAAUACUUAUACAUCCAAUUAAAGUUACCAUUUAGCAGUCGUAAUUUUCAAUCAAUUGUGUCUUCUAAUAUGCGGAGUAUCUUCCCCAUAUUUUACUUGUAAUUUCCUUCAUCAAAUCUUUGAUAUCCAAACAAAGCCGAAAUUGCAAAGAAAUUGCUGAGGUGCCACACCAACAUUAACACAACUUGCAUUUGAUUAUUAGAUAAUUGAGAACCCUAAUUGGACUAUAUUUCAAUUAUGAAUGGCACCAAUGAAUUUUCCACUACGUAAACUUUUCCUAUUUUCAACCUUUGUUCGUUUCUCCUUUGUGAAUGUUCUAUGAAGUCUAUGUCAUUGUACACUGUAAUUUCCAUUGAAAUCAAACCACAUGAAACGAGCAUUCGUCAUUUUGUUUACUGCAUUUUUUUCUCUUUUUAGUAGAUAGGAUGUUUUGAAUUCAAAAUUUUUAUUAAUAAUUUUUUUCACCUUAUCAACCAACCAACUCUUCGUGUCCGACCUCAUUUAUCCUUUUGGCUAGAAAAACUAAACUAGUCUGAUAAUUUGGAAUUUGGAAUCCAAGUUUGGCGUACAUCCCAAUCACAAAUGGCAUCGUCACUCCACUAGUUGCAUUAAAGAAUUAUUGUUGUCAUGUUCAUCUAGGACUCUGAUCACGACAACUUUUGGCUGUUAGUAUAAUUUCCUCUAGAAUAAACUGCCCCAACUUUUCCUAUUCCAUUUUUUUUAUAUCUGCAAUUUGUUUUUUUUUUUCUUAUUAUUGCUUUCUCCACGAAUUGCAAUUUUUGUUGAGAGCUGAAGUGUCAUUUGACUUUGGGUGGCAAGCUACGACUGUAAUUUAUUUCCUCAUCACAAGGUCUAUAAAUUCCUCUAUUAACAAUAAAAAUGGCAAUUUUUUCCCUGAUUCAUUUUAGCAUUUCUAAGUUUAAUCUUUUCUGCCAUACCGAAGCUUGACUAUGUAGUGUAUGAGUCACCAGAAAGAAGCCACACAAAAAAAAAAAAAAAAAACAAGAGUUACCAGAAAGAAAAAGAUAUACUAUAGAUCUCAAAUUUUAGAAUUUUAAUAUUAAUAUUUCACAUGACCACAAAAUUAAAGGAAUUACAUAAUCACAUACUAAUUAUGUGGGAGGGAAUACAGAAAUCGAAUCACAAUAUUUUUAACAUCUAAAAUAAUGAAGAAUGUCACAUAAAUUGUGACCAAUAAGUUCAAUAAACUCUACCCAUCGCAGUUUAUCUGAUGGCCAGGUGAGGGCAAUUGGAGUUUUCUCCGCUAACAAGUUUAAGAUUCGAAUCUUAGGCCUGAUACUUGGUUGUGGGAAGAGAAUGCAAAUGGUUGAGAAUGUAAAAAAUAUUUUUAAAAAAUCUCAUAGAAAAAUACCAUGAAAUAGCCUUUUUUUUAAUAAAAACACCAUCAUUCAUUAAAUCUGAACUAAUGAAAGAAAUUAAAUCAAUCAUACACACGAACAAAUAGAUCUAAAGAACAAAAUUAGAUACUACAAAUAUGAAAAAUCAAGAGAAUAAUACACUAUGUAACUCAAAAAAUACUUAAAAGAUAAAAUAGCCUACUUACAACCCACUAAACUUAGUGAAUGAGAAGCUACUCAAAUAAGCGAUCACCUAAUAUAACACCAAUUGCUAAAUUUUUAAAUUAACAAAAAUCCUAAAAACUUGUUCAAUUUGUCAACAAAUACUAACAGUUUCAAUAUGACAAUUGUUGUGAAGCCUUGUGCUGAUAAAAGGUUUUGGUUUGUGGUUCAUUGACUUAAUAGUUGAGACCGUUCUCUUUCCUUGCCGUUUCCAGGAUGCGGCUUCUUUUUUUUUUUUUUUUUAUGUUUUUCUAUGUAGUUUCCAGGAUAUUAGAGGGAUUGAAAUUGUCCUCUUCGAGACCACUUUUGCCUCCUCCUUUUUCAUAAGGUUAUUGCCUCCAAAAUUCCUUGGCUCACUUUGUCUUUUGAACUGGCUUUCAAAUCGUGUAAAUUGCACAUUAAUUCUUCAAUUAUGAUGGAAUUUUAGUAAGCUAUUCUAUUUGUUUAUUUUCUAAUUCUUUUAGUUUCUUGUUUUGGUUCCUGUUUGUUUAGUUUCCAUAUUAAUUUAGGAAGUCUCAAAUCAAUUUCCAAAUACAUUUCAAUUUACAAUUUUAUUUUGUUUAGAAACUUCUGCAAUCUACAAAUACUACUAAUUUAGUACAUUGUUACUUGAAAAGUUGAGUUGAGUUGAGUUGUGAGUUGUGGGUUUGAAAGAAAAUCUCUAAAUUAAGAUUUUGUGAAUUAUCGUGAGUAAAAAAUUAUGACUUGAUAUUGUUAUUGUUGAGUUUUGAGAUAAUAAAAUUAUUAAAUUGCUGUUAUGUGUUUAUUCUCCUUCUCUUCCAUCAUAUUUUUAUAUGUAUUAAAAUUGCUUCCACUGUAUGUGUGCUUUUGUGCCAACAAGUGGUAUUAAAAUUCUAGACUUUGAUCCCGGGCUUGUACAUGAAAUUAGGACACAAAAUUAGUCCUAAUUGAGUAGAGAUUAAAUCCCUAUUAUUUACGACAUUAUGUAGUUUUAAUCUUUGGAGGUAAAAACGAAGUUGAGAUUUGGAAUAUGGUGAUAAGGAUGUUUUUUUCAAGCUAUUAGAGUUUGGGAUAUUAUCCAAAUGGAGUUCAUAGAACCUGCAGAAUAGAGCUGUAAACGAAUCGAAUCGAACCGAGUAUCUCAUGUUUGAGCUCUGUUCGUUAAGCAGUUCGAACAACGUUCGUGUUCGUUCGUUAAUUUUCGAACUCCAAACCAGUGUUCGUGUUCGGUUCGUUAAGUAAAAUUCGUGUUCGAGUUCGGCUCGUUUAACAUAAACGAGCCGUUCGCAAACAUGUUCGAAAUGCUCGAAUCCAAUUUAUUUUAUGCCUUAAAUAUGCCAUGCAAAUUAUUAAUCAUUCUCAAAAAUAAUUAAAGUACUAAGUGACUAAAUUCUAUUAUUCAGUAACUAUAUAACUAACAUUAACAUAAAAGCAACAAAUAAAACAAAGAAAUUUGCCCUCCAAAUAUAAAAGUCCAGCCAUAAAAUUAAUCCUAAAAUUUGUCAAAUGAUAAUUAUGUCUAUGUUCGCGAACGUUCGUUAAAACUCGCGAACAUGUUCGUGUUUGCAAACGUUCGUUUAGCAUGUUCGCGAACGUUCGUUAAAACUCGCGAACAUACUCGUGUUCGCUCGAUUAUUAAUCGAACAAAAAAAUUCGUUCGAACUCGGUUCGUUUAAAAUUUCGAACGAGCCUUUCACGAACACGAACGAGCCGAAACGAACCGAGCUACCGAACAGCUCGGUUCGUUUAACAGCUCUACUGCAGAAGGAGCAAAAUUAUCGAGCAAUAUAGUUAAAGAGUUUGAGAGAAAUAGAUAAUUGGAUUGUAAGACAUUCCAUUAUCUCAGUACGAAAGCUCAGUUGUAUAGAAUUAAAAAAUUCAUACAUGCAAAAAUGGCAAAAGAAGCUUGGACUCACAAUUGAGAAGGAAUUUAUGACGAGAAAGAAGGAAAUGAAUUUUUUAAUGAGGCAGAGAAAGAUUAAAUUAUAAAAAUUGUGGGUACACUUGGAAAUUUCACAAGUGGUUGAGAAAGAAAACAAAUUUACCAGUGAAAUUGAAACUGUGAUUGAAGAUCAUAGCGAGAUAAAAAAUAUUAACUUUAUUGGAACUGAUAAUUUGUUUGAAAAGAUAAAUCAAACAUUGGAGUUGGAUGAGAUUAAUUGUGGAUUUGACAAGUUAGUCGCAAAUUGUGGCAUUGUUGAAACUAAUGUGAUUGUUGGUGUGGAUGAAUCAGAACAAGAUCAUGAUCAGGUUGAAACUUUUGAUGGUGGAAAGUAUGAUUUUGUGAUUUUGGAUUUUCUUGAUGUUAUGGAUGAAUUGAGUAAUAGAAUUGCAAUUAAGGGAUGGGUGAACAUGUUUGAAUUUUUUGACAAAAGAGUUCAUGCCAAAAAAUUGUUUGAAAAGUAUAAGUUUUGUCCACUAUCACAUGUAAUGAUGAAAUCAAAGAUCAAUUGCAAGUUGGUGUUCCACAUCAUUUAUACAGCGAUUGAGGUGAGCUCCACUUUAUACUUGCAAAGCACAAUUUAAGGUGGAGCUCACAAAUCAACAACAUCCAACUAGAGGUGGCAAUAUGGAUAAAUGGUUCAUAAUUGGUUUUGACUUAAUGGAUGGUGGAUGAAAUUUAUCCAAUCCAUUUAGAUCCAUUUAUUAAAUGGAUCUAAAUGGAUGGAUCUAAAUGGAUUAAAUAAAAACCAAUUAUCCAUUUAUAAUCCAUUUAAAUAUUUUUGUUACUUUUUUUUUUACAUUACCAUUUCUUGUAAUAUGAAGAUACUUUUUUAUGUACUUGUAAAUUUUAGAUGUAUUUGGAUAAGGAGGAGGACAAAUUUUAGGUUUUUCCUUUUCUUCCAUACAUCAGUUAGAGUUGAUAAAAGUUUAAGAGGCAUCGAUAAGGAUAACUUUGUGGCCUUCAAUGAGAUUUUGUAGCUCAGUGCUUGAACUGAAAGAAGGAAGAACGCAAAAGCAAAACACCUAAAGCAAUUAUGCAGGUUCCACAAUCAAGAGCAAUUAUAACUCUUCAGGAUAGUUUACAUUUGAAAAGCUAAAAAAAUGCGCUGAGAAGAGAGUGGCUCUUCAUCUUUCGAAUUACAGAAACAGAAUUCAGAUCCAUUCGCCUACUGUUUUAACAGAAAAUGCUAAGACAAAAAAAGGAAAAAGAAAAGGAUACAGUGGCUCAGCAAUAUUCAAUCAAUUCUUGGCAAUGCUAACCGAGCUUGU
This 13616-nucleotide long non-coding RNA is filed under the name Coffea arabica (coffee). RNAcentral's name for it is "long non-coding RNA (CARA_LNC001781)". The record is from RNAcentral. Lineage: Eukaryota; Viridiplantae; Streptophyta; Magnoliopsida; Gentianales; Rubiaceae.